This is a long non-coding RNA of Falco peregrinus (peregrine falcon), 37067 nucleotides long. RefSeq lists it as uncharacterized. Lineage: Eukaryota; Metazoa; Chordata; Aves; Falconiformes; Falconidae. The record is from RefSeq and is a predicted model, not a curated record. The transcript is spliced from 32 exons.
UGUAUCUCUGCUUAGGUGCACAGGGAGAGAUCCAUUUCCUUCAUGGCACGAGAGGGACUUAAAUGACAUGAAAUUAAGAUAUCUUUUCAAAGUGUCAGUGUGAUGGAAUAGACACAUGAAUGUGUUCUGUUCAAAUUUGCAUUAUUCCACUCCAAGAAAGUCUGAGUGCCACCAGAUCUAUGUGAAGGUGGUGGAAAGAAACCUGCAUCUUGAUUUUUCGGACUGGGGUACACACAAGAACCUGAAGCUGCUUGCCAGUUUGACUGAAACCAGACAGACUUGACUUCUGCUGGAGCAAACAGGAACAGGACUCAAGCUGUAACAUCCAGGCUGUGCUCACCUCGAGGAAUCUCCCUUUGGUGCCACAGCCCGUCUUGGUCAUCGUGAGAGCGCGGUACAUUAUUUCGAUUUGCUUUCUUUAAGCAUCUUGUCCACACCAUUGUUUCACCUGAAGCUUUCCUUGAAGGAAAACACUGUCACGGUACCAAGCUCAUCACAACUUCUGGAGAGGAGAAUAAUAAACAGCUCAUUGAGACAGAUUGUCAGAGAUCUGCAAGCGUUCCUGUUGUGGGAUAUAAAUACAGUCACAAAUUGAAUCAACAUUUUAUUCUGCUUAUCAGAAAAAACUUCUACUGAGGAAAGCGGAGGCCAUUUUUAAUGUUUAUAUUCAUCAUUUAGCAUUUAGAUGCUAUAAUAAAAUUUGGAGAAGCAACCGAUGUUCUCGGUGAAACAUCAGUGCAAAUCUCCCUGGAACUUUAUUGCCAUGCUGGUUAACUGUGCAGGAGGAGAACACUUACUUGGCAGCUUCAGAAACUAAGGUUCAGCAAUAAGUGGGUAUGUAAUGGAAAUCCUUAAACAAGGAGACAUCAUGUUGGAUUUGCAGUUGCCUGAUCUGCGAAAGAAUUCAAGCUGCGAUUGAAUACUGGAGGGAUAUGAUGGGUGUAGAAUGUUUUUCAAAAAAAGGUAAACUAGUGGUGAGUUAUAACCAGCACUAAUUGUUGGCUGUGUGGUAAAGCCAGUCAACUGAUCUACGAUGAAGAACGUAUUACUGUCUUUAACUGGAGAAUAACAGUAAAUGGGUCCAUCUACUUUUGGAGAGCAGGAAUGGAAGAGCCUUGGCCUUAUGCCUGGGUGAGAGGCAGCACAGAGAGCAGGCAGCCGGCACAGUCAAGCUAGAUGUCUGCGUCAGCCGUCAGCUGUGGCUGCUCUCUGGGCCUAAAAGGAAGUCAUUGUCUGGAUUACUGCUUCAUGCCAUCAUUUGCCGCAGCCAGCUCUGUACAGAAGCACAACUAGCUCUCUUCAGCAUUAAGGAAAACUAUUUAAAAACUAAAUUUAAUGAAAGAAAAGUGUCCUUCAACUGAAGAUGGAAAUAUUUGGCAAAUUACUCCACUGAAAGUUUUCCAUGUCAGCUUCAGAGUAAAAGGCAUGGAAUUAGGCAAUGAUCAUCUCUGAUGGGUCUGGGUUCAAUAACAGAGACUUUUAACUGGCGAGUCCAUGAGCAGAAAUGCCAGUAAACAGAUUUACAGAAGUACUUGAUUUGUUUUCCAGGAGUAUUAAUUUUAAUUUUUAUCCCGUUUAUCCUUCUGUGUAAUAAUUCCUCAUUCCUGAUUUGGAGAGGAGAUUCAUGCAUUGUCAUUCAGGAUGUCACAAAAUUCAAUUAAGGGCUGGCUGCAGCAUCCCUUCUUGAUUUGUGAAUGAUUUACCUUCGUUGAGAAAACAGGAUGACUUUUUCCAUCACAAAGCAUGGUUGCUGAUUUUAACAGAGCAGACAGCCUGGAGCUACGCAAGCCAUCACUAAACCAAAAAGAAACAUUAAUAAAAUGACUGGAGGGGUGGUGUCCUUCUGCUGGGACUGUAACUAUUCCUUGUGCAUUUCAGGGACCGAGGAUGUAAAAUAGUGUAACAUCCCAGGUUAUGUAAUUCCACAUCCACAGUCUCCAGCCUCUGCAAGUCCCACUCGCUCCUCCAGCCAGAUCCAGACGGCCUGACAGCUCGGCUGUCUUUCAGCCAAGUGUGACUACUCUGCUGUCAGCACUUUAGCCACUUUUACCUCUGAGGUUAAAAGUCUGAUCAGAUGCCUGCUUGACACGCAAAAUCAUCAAGAGACUGCAGCAAACGCCUCUUGGAACACAAAGCAGUAUCAGGCAGGCAGCAGCUAAAAGAAGCCCCCACCACCAGGGGAAGCAAACAGUGGGGCUGUGGUUCCCCACCGAUUUCCUCAGCCCUUAGUUAGUGGGGGGAGGAUUAUUAAACCCUUCUGUGUUGCUCUGAAGUGCUACAAAUAGAACGGUAAAUCUAAAUAAUGAGGUGCAUGUUGUUCCCUUCAGUAUGUGCUGCAGAUGACAAGCAGGGACCAAAAACCAAAAGGAAAACAUAAGUACAGCUGGAGGGUAUCAUGCCCACCAUGGAGCUGACUCCUGAAGUGUGUUGAGGUAUAUACCUUGUACUUGUGUUGCACUCCUGCAGUUGUGGCUGCCUUGUGUUCCAAGUGAGGCUGUUUAGUCGUGCCAGAAUACUCUUUGCACCGGUGACCCCCCGUUACAUAGCUCAGCACCCUCUCUGACAAGUUCUAGAAAAGGGAGGUUGUCUCCUGAGACUGGAGCAGCAGUUUUCCAACUUUUACCCAGAUUUCCCCCUCUUCUGCCUGCUGCUCCUCCCCUAAGGAAGGUGGCAAGUAUGAUUGCACCAGGACCACUUUGCCCAUGAUGGUCCCUGUGGGUUAUCAAGCCCAGCCCACAAGGACCCUUGGCCACAAAGAGCCUGAUGGAGGGUCUUCUGAAGGGGACUACUUCUCAAACCUGCCCCCAGAUAAAUCCUGCCUGCUCUGGUUUGAGAUUUCCCGUGUUAGACAGGGCUUGGUUCAAAAGUUCUGAGACCUGCCGGUGAUCACGAGCGAGGCAACACAUCCGAGAGCUGCCAGCAUUCGACUGCCAGCAAAGGGAGAGUGGACAGGGAUCACACCGAGGCAGACGUUACUUGUCAUGUAUUGGCCUACACCUGAGGCAAACUAUUGCUCUGCUCAGCCACUGCAAACACUUAAACACCUAAAGUUGAGUUUCUGGAAGUAGGAACCUCGGAAAGAGGGUCAGUGCUUACAGAAAGAUGCUGAGAGAUGGCAUCUAGCUUUAGUCCCUAAGACUUAUCAGUCGUAUGUGAGGCCAUUGAUGCCUCACUCGAACUUCUACUUAACUGGCAUGUGGUGAACACACUGGAUAAGCUCAACUACCCAGGUCUGAAAGUAGAAUUUUUAAGAGCAGGUGUAACUGUUGGUAAGCAAGAGACAGGUCUGGGUCAUUUGCCAGCUUUGUUACUUCAGUGGAUUUGAAUUAAAGGAUAAGUUCCUUUUUUUCCUCAGCGUAGUAAGUAUUGAGCUAGAAAUUCAUGGCUACUUUCAGAAGAGAUCCAAGUCCUUCUUAUUCCAUGUUGGAAUAGAUGAACAAAUGUGUUUUCACCUGUGAGAAGUUAAAGGCUUAGUGAGGGUCUUCAGCAGCACAGACACACAUGCAUGCUUCUCCCUCUCUUGAUCAGGAUCCUCAGCUGGGAAUUCAAAGGCCACUUGUCAAGCUCUUCCUCUCAAGUGUGUGUCUAAAGCACCAUUCCGUGAGUUUUUGAAGUGGAUUAAUCUCAUUGAAACUGAUAAAACUUUUCUAAUAGAAAGUUGAUUUCUGAUUUAGACUCAACUCCUGUCUGUUAUCAAAAACGUUUCUGACCAUUCCUCCACACUCCUGAAAUCUUUCAGUGAGAUUCAGUGAAUCUCGGUUACUGGCAAUCGGUGAUCCUGUUAACAGUAGUUUCCAGAGUCCCAACCAAAGCUAACAUGAUGACAGGACAUGAUCUCAGCAUGCCGAAUCAUUUUUGAAGGGGGACCUGAUGAUUUCAAAAGAGGCUUUAGCUGCCUGCCAUUUCCCUGGGGUAAUUCCUAUGUGUGACCUGGCAUACCUGAGCUGAGUACAUCUACUUUGGCUAAUGCUUCCUAAAAUGACAGAUUUCAGAAUAAUUCUGUGUUAUAUAUUUGGAUAACUAUUUCACAAGCUGUUUGUCUUUGAAAAAUUAUAAUGAAAAGCAAAUUAUUUUAAAAAAAUGAGAAAAAAGAAAGAACAGAUGUCUUAGUGAAGAUUUUAGUGUUUUGGGGCUCUGGUUUGGGAGUACAGCUGAUUGCCAAAGUUACUGGAUAACAUAAAUUCUCUUUCAAUUUCUUUGCAAUUUUGAAGCUAAUACAACUCCAGUGAAAGUUCCUAAUGUUAUUUUUCCUCUCUUAACCUAAUUAACAAACUGAAAAUUUAUGUAGUCCUAAAUGGAAUUACUUUCUCCUAAGCACCGCAGAGGGGGUUAUUUCUCAUGUACCUAUUAAAGCGUGGAUAUCGAUGCUAAUGCUUCACACCAGCUACAGUACCUGAAUUCUCUUCACAGGAGUAACACAUCGAAACUGCCCUGUCUGAGGCCAUGCUAACAGGAACUCAGGACAGUAUCAGCCUGCCUUGAGUAUUGUUAUUUUAAAUGUUAAAUUUGAGUUCUUAAUUUUGACAUAUUUAGCUGCUGAACAUUUAGAAAAGCGUGGGUAUGGGUCAAAUGUCUGUUAUAUUUUUAAAGAAGAACCAAAAAAAGAAAACCAACCCACCUCAGACCCCUUAGUUUUCAUUUCAUAAAAAGCUCCAAGAACUCUUUAGAGUAAAUUAUUAAAAACCAAACCAAACCAAACUAAAUUGCUUUAAAAUAUCAAAGAGGAAUCACAUUUUUUUCUUGAACAUGGUUUUUCAAUGAUGAAUUUUUCAACAGGGUUGUAUUAAAACAUAUUAGUUGUUAAUAAGAACCUGCCAUCACUUUUAGAGUGAUAUUCUAGAGUAUUACCAAUACUGUGCUAAUGGCUUUACAUGCAGUUAGUUUCUCAAAAACAGAUUUAACACAUUUCCAAACAGCAAAUGUGUGUAUUAUUUUGUGGUUUAAAUCUGUUUUAUCAUGAUACCACUUCCAAAAUACUGAAGGCAUAAAAUAGUUUAUGGUCCAGAAGAUAAACUACCACAAGCCACUAUGUUGGAAUAUAGGGAAGGAUCUGAGAAAGUGCUAAAAGCAUUAUUACAGCUACAGAAUAGACUCUUAAAUCUUUUAUGCAACUUGAUCAGUUCCCACUGGAACCACACUGUAUUGUUUUCAUAAAUAAACACCAAAAGUUGCUGUGCACAGUGUUUCUGGACUGUAACAGACUGCUUUUGUGCUUUAACAGGUUUUGUGUUAAAUUGUAAACUACAAACGUUCCCAUGAAAAAUUCUUUUUCCCAGCACACUGCUUGUGAGUGGCAUGUCAUCUUUCUUGAUGAUCAACAAAGCAAUCACAUUUGUAUGGCAGUAAACCACCUUCAGUCGCUUCAUCCUCCAUGGAGGUGCCACAGCCCCCAGGCUGGGAGGAGCCACCCAGCAGUGCCGUCCUCUCUGAGGGAAGAGACUGGUUUCCUGAACUCAGAUUUGCCCACGGCAAUGAGAUGAAGAGGGUGAUUCCUCUCCCAUCUUGGUUUUUUUGACAGGAAAAAGCAGGAGAGAAUAACCCUCCCAUUUUUAUCUGCUCAACCAUUACAGCACUAAAAGCCUCCAUACGUUGAACUGUCUUUUCCAUGUAGAGAAGGCGUGGAGAUCCCUAGUUUGUUACUCAGUAUUGUCAGCCAAACCUGGCAAAUUGUCUGUUUUCAAUAGAACAGUUUAAGCUUUUGCUAGCCCAUACUCUUCCAGCUCAUUUUUUAAAUGGAGUGCUCUCCAAAAGAGCAGGCUGUGGCAGAGAUCACUGUCCUGCGUUGGCUGCAUCUCAGAGAUUUGCAAAGCACAAAUUUCUCCAUUCUGCAGGCUCCAGCCCACAGGCUGCCCCCUUCGCCCCAACUUCGCAUGCGUGGGUCACACUCACCCUCCUCCCCACUUAAGAAGUCUGAAAAAAUAUCUGCCAGAGAAAAGGCAGUUUGUCCAAACUGUUCUCAUGGUUUGGCUGAAGCUUAUACUGUCGGCUCUCAAGUAAAAUGUAAUCUGUUAUUUUUAAACGCUUAAGCACUGCUGUUGAUAUAUAUAUUAAAAAAAAAGCAGGUGACUUUGUUAAGAUGUACUCUGGAGAGCAGAGUGAAUGGAAAAAAACAGACAAAAGUGGUUUCAGAAAUAAGGGCUUUUGAAAGGAGUUUUUGGAGACUCUAUAGUAGUCCAAGACAUGUGAAAAGCGUCCAGACCAUAAAUACUGAAAGAAAACAUUUGGUAAGUGAACAAAAUAUUUUAAGUGCUAUACAAGAGAGAAUGAAAAACUGUAGUAUAAUUAUGUAUUUUACAAUUUUGAAUUAGUGACAGAGGUAAAAAGGGAGUUGUUUUGGAGGCAGGAAUGGGUAUUCUGUUAAUGUUCUCCCACAAGUCAGUACAACGUGAAACUUUGCUGUGGGUAAGGCAAAAACAUAGACAGCUUACCAUUGUGUAGAAAGCAUUUUUGUCUAGGGGAUAAGAUAAUUCACCCCACCUCUUUUUUUUUUCUUUUUUUUUUUUUCCCAGAAGAGAAUAAAAAUACAGCUGUGUACUAUAUUCCACUUCGUAUGCACAUGGUGGUACUUCAGAGAACAGGAGGUGCACAAGUGGAAGGGUCAGCAAUUUCAAGUCGAAUGCCUCUGUAAUACAGCCUGCCGACCGUGGCGUGGCAAUGAUCUUGGCCCAGUAGCAGCAAAAUGACUUGUCCCAGAAUGGUUACAUUUCUUAGCCUAAUGCAGAACUAACAUUUUAAAAUAUCCGGUCUCCAUCCCUGAAAUGCCUGCAGGCUGUUCUCUUGGCCAGAAUAUGCUGACAGCUUGGAGAGAGAUGAAACAAAUAUCAAUGGCCUAGUGCAUGAGGAUCAGCUAAGAUUGAGGUCCUGCUGUGUUAGGAUCUAGAUGUACGUGUAGUAACUGUUCUUCUUUGAGCCUCCUACUGUUUAAAUAGAAAGGAUCAUUACCUGUGUCUUGCAGAGUAAUCAAGAGAUUUGCUAUGAGUCUCAGAUGAACUUGUUGCAGAGCCGGAAAUUCAAUCUGAAGGCCUAAAAAUUGAAGUUCAAUUGCCUAAAACCCAGAGGUACCCAAAGCAGGCCAAGGGAUGUAGCACAGGACUUGCAAAAGAGCUACACUGAUCUGAAGUGGCAACUGGAGGAGCAUCUAGAGUGACAUUUGUGCGGCUGAGUCCCAGCCUUGCAUCUUGGCCUUUUACAUUUCCCUCAACAGAUGGGCGGCAACAGAAGGAUACUUUCAAAACUGACUUAAUGUGUUAACAAGUUACAGAUACAAUCCCUAUUCCUGCAGGACUAGCAUGAUUGCUCUGCACCUUCACUGAACACAGCAAAACCUGCAGGAAUUUAGACACAAAACCGAGCUGAUUUCUGUUGUGCCGUACUUUGAGCCGUUUCUGAGCACGCAGAAGACAGCAGAAAUGAGCAGCUAUUUAAAGCAUGUGCUGCUCUUAAUGCUCACUAACUCCACAUCACUCAUGUAGCUACUAUUAAGCAUUAGUAUAAAGUGGACUUGGAACAGUAACACUGGAUGUUUCCUUGCCCCCGCAUGCUGCAAAAAGUAAAGUUCAUGAUGAAUUUUUAAUUAUAAGCCAUGCAAAAAUGCCUUGCUGCUGUUUCCUGACAUACUCGGGAAUGAUACCUUCAUAAGGAAACACAGAGAAAUAAAACUCGUUGCCCCACAGCCAAAAGAAGAAGCCAUACCCUUUCCUGUGCAAGUGGGAAGCAAGCAUUGAGGGAAAAAAGGUGACUAUAUCACAACUUCCAUUGCAUGUGUCCAUGCACACGGAUGAGGCAUAAUUUAAAGAGCUACAGUGUUGCUGAAGCUGGGGACACUUUUGUUGAAGUCUUUUGAGAAUCACUGUUACAUAACUCAUACCCCAGCACAAAGAAAUGUCAGAGAGCAUCAGCAAAAAUACAGCUUGGAAAGAUUUGUCAUUACAUAUGGUCUAAAUUACACUGCACAGCACAGGCUGUGUUUUCUCCUAUAGCAUUUGCAAGUUGUGUAUGUAAGAAAUCCUAUAUUCUCUGCUAUAGAACUAGGAAAUGCAUCCCGAAAUCAUGUCUUAGUGUUCAGUCAGCAGAUACAAAACUAAUGAAUGAGCCUUUACUCAACAUGACUUUCGCUGGGUGCCAAACCAGACCUUAAACCAGGACAGGCUAAGAUCUACCAGUUCUGAUGUGACAUUGCAGACAUCACAGAAAAGAAACCAAAACUGAAGGAGUGGGUAUUUUGGUCAGUGUUCAUCAGGGACAGCUGACAACUUCUUACAGAGACUGAUGUGCUGAUCUAGGCUAGGUACAUUUAGCUGUUGGCUUGUUUUGAAAAGUGGGCCUGCAUGGCAGCUGCAGAAAGUGUCACCUAGCCAGCAAAGCCAAAGGAGUUAAAAGGCUUUUUUGGGGGGACAUCACACAUAUUGAAAAGUACCCUGCGAAAUCUGUGCCACACUCCAUGGCCUUCCACAGACUCAUUCAGUUUUCCUCAUGGACCUUUCUUCUGCUCCCCUGCCACCUUCAGGAUUGACGUUUACCUCCUCUGCAUUGAUUCAGUCCAUGCAGGUGCAAGGCUGCCUUCAGCAGACUGUCUCUCUCAUCUUCCUUAACUGACUCCGUAGUAUGUUCACACUGAUGCCUUAUAACUGCUUUGAUUGUCUGUUGGUCAGAAGUCGUUUUGUCCACAACCCUGUGAAUAUAACAGCUCUCACCGGCUUCGAAACAGGCCUUAGAAGAUGAAGAACAGAAGUUACUAGUGCCCUUUCAGUAGCCUGUAUGGUGUUUAAAUGGUAAUAGAAAAAAUUCCUUUGACUAUUUUUUUGGUGUAGCUCCUCCUGAAAAGUGGGGAAGGUGAGAGGAAGUUAGAGCCAGUACAUAUUCUAGUAUAGAAAUUAACCUCAGUGGGAAGAAUAAUGUUGCUUACAAAACCAGGAGGCUGCACUGCAUAGGAAAUAGAGCAUGAAAAGGAUUUGUGCUGUGAUGUUGAGAUUAGAGAGAACAAGCAACACGAAUUAGCAAGUGGAAUGCAAAUAUUGUACAUUCAAGUGUAACUUCAGUGUAAUACCAGAGUUGUGGGUGCGUAAGGAAUUGGAGAGUCCCUCAAGUAAUAUUAAAACUGCUGCUGUCUGCUGACUGUGGCCCAUGCACAGUGGCUUAGGUAGCCCCAGCCUCCACUGCUCUGGAGCUGAUGCUUCCUCCUUACUCUUCUGUAGCAGGUUUUAUUGCAUACAAUUAGGAGACUUUGUGUAUGCAGAUACUUUGCAUUUAGGACAGUGACUUGCUGACAAGAACAUCCGGAGGUUGGAACGGCUUGGCUGUGGACAGAGGCAUCAGUAACUAACCAAAGAGAACAGAUAGGUCUUUUAGAGACUGGGGUGGGGGGAAGAAAAGCAGAUUUAUGAGAAAGGGAAUGUACUAGUAAGCACAAGCUAGGCUACUUUGUUGGCUAGGUGGAUCCAUCACUAGAGACUGCCGUCUCAGCCUUCUGUGCUUCUCUUUGCACCUGCUUGCGAGAUGAAAGAACGGGACACCAUUUAAUAGAGAUUAAUUUUUCUAAUGCACCAUCAUUUAGUUUCAAGGCCCCCUUGCCCCUGAAUGUGGAGCUCACAGUUGUACAUGUAAUGCUGCACUUACAAUAAAGCAACUACUACUUUCCUCAAUCAGGGCUGCGGUAUGCUAAAACCUUUCUGUAGCUGGAAGGGUUGCACUAGGAACCUCUUGAAUGCAGAGAAGAAAAAUCAGUUUUCUUGUGUAAAAAAAAAACCAUUUUUAGAGGCUUUACAUGCUUUAUGGGCUUGAGGGAUUAAGUAUUUCAAAGUACAAGUAAAUGUUAAGCAAGUUUCCUUUAAUUCUGCAAGAGUGGAGCCUAUGUGUUUAAAGGAAGGGCUCUAGGUCUACGCUUGUCUGUGCUAUACAGGUUCAUUGGUAAAUGUAAGGUCGGCUGGAUGAUCAACUUCACCUCCUUGUUACCAAGCUCUCUGCUUGUCUUGAUCUGUGAGCUCCAGACGUGAAUACAGAAAUGACAGGUUUAGGGCUCAGGCCAUUUUAUUCCUCCAUAUUCUUCCUUCAUUUACAGGUUUAAUGCCAUAGAAAUUGUCUUCUCUCACUCUAAUUAUCUGCCCUUCCCCCUGUAAAUGGCAUAGUUGUGUUGCAGUGACAACGCUUGACUCAACAGCUACCUUCUGCAUACAUUGCUUUUCCCUGCUUGACCCAAAAAUCAUCUCAGUACUUCAUUUUUGGAGGCAUUUCAUUGCUUUUCCUUAAGGAAAUUAAUUCCUUCCUUGUACAAAAGAGCUGACUUCUGUUUUCCACUUGAAUACGUUUUUAGGCAGAGAGGGGAGGAGGAAUGAAGUGGGUGAUUUGGGUUUUUAAAUCAAUAAACUCAAACUCCCAAAACACAGCACUAGUGCAAAGGGGCAAGUAUGUAAUUUUCUCAGUAGCAAAUAUAGCUACAUGUAUCUAAAUCCAAGACAUUCAUCAGCUCUUUUAUAGGAUAAGACAGGGCUCAGAAAUGAUUUUCUGUUGAAGUACAUAAGAUCAAACAUGUUUGUCAUUUUAGCCUUCUCUUUAUUCUAUCUGAUUUCAAGAUCUUGAGACUUUCUUUAGAUGUCAUUGCUUCAAGCUUCUGCUUUUAUCACAUUAACCACUCUUCAUGAGCUUUUACACAUCAAAAUGUCUUUAGAUACAUUGUUGAAGAGGGAGUACUUGUGAAGACUUCAGUAAAAAGUUAGAGAAUCCGUGCCUGAAACUUUAUACAAACACAUUUGAGGAAAGAACCACCAAAACCAAAAUAAACAGCCAAACAAUAAUACACAAUGCUGCAUUCUCAUUAUGGUUUCUCCAGAAGGAGAAAAAAGGCAUUUUCAUUAUGCUUGAAUACAGCUUUGUUAGUGUGCAAAAACCCAGAAGUGGUGAGCCAUCUCAUGCCUGUCAGAUUCUCAAACUUUUGGAGCUUAAUACUUUUGCAUUUUUUUACUUCCCUCCCUGCUGUACUGAGCAGAUGGUUAUCCUGAGCUCUGAUUGCAUCUCCAGGUAUGUGUUGGUCCUGCUUCUGGUUAAGUUUUUGGCUAUAGAAAAUUCUUCCUAGCUAGUAGAAAGGGCAGGGCUUUGCUCCAAAUGGUUUUAGCUAAAGACAGAACUAGCCGUUGCAAGAUCGGUGAUUUCCUCACCAGUUGCCAUCACUUGUGCUUCACUAAUAUCUUGCAAUUAACACUAAUGACCACAGGACAACGGUGACAGCCUGUCCAUGGUAUUAAAGUGCUCUCAUCCCUCACACAAGCAGGUUGUGACUCCUCUCUGGCUGAAGGGUUUGUACAGGGAAGGGGACUGUUCCCAGCGCACAUCAGCAGCGUGGGAUCACAGUGGCAGGAUAGUUCCAUGGUAAGUGUUUCAUACUGGCAGUUUCCUUAUCAGUUACAGAUUCACUUUCUGUAGAUUUCUGGAGUAAAUCUGCUAUUUUUGACACAGCUGUUUGUAGUCGGACUAGAGUGUCAGGACCAUUAGAAGCCUCAAAGCAUUUUCAGGACAUUUUUGUGCAUAUGCAUCUAGGUAGAUUGAUGAUAAGCUAAAUGGCUAGCUAGGCUGUGUUGAUAUGUGGUGGGGAAGCAUAGCACCAGGAUUUGCCAGAGUAUAAAUGAGAGCUACCUUUCUUUCAUCAGCAUCCACGAGGUGCUGGGAUCGCACCGAAACACAUACUGUAACACUGCGAUGUGUCAGAGUGUUAAAUAUGAAAAAUCGGAGCCCCCCCACCUGCAUUACCAGGUAUGGGAGCCAAUUGCUUUCAACUUUCUGAAUACAUUCUCCUGCAUUUCCCUCAGAAUAACUGAAGGAGUAAACACUGUUUGAAAAAGAUCUAGUUUUUAAAAAAGUAAAUAAAAAAAAAAAUUAUCACACAUAUGUGAUCAUCUCCAAGGGGGAGGCCACUUGCAAGUGAAUGACUGGAAUUUGUGAUGACAAAAAUAAGUGUUAAUUGUGGUAUGCAAGAUGUAAAGCCACAGCCUUACUAUGUUGAUUGCUUAUUGUUAUGCUUUGAGGAGCUAACAGUGUGAUCAGACAGGGAGGAAGCAUUUAUGUUACAGUUACCAGAAUAAACCAUUACCUAGCUAGUCAUUCACACAGGCCUUCCUGGUUAGAAAAGAAAUAUGCAUCUCUUGCAUCUUUGGCGAAGAUUUUCCUCCCUGUUCUGUAGGUGCGUGAAGAGCACACAAACCUCCUGCUCUCAGUGGAGCCUGGUUGCAUAGCCCAGGCCUCCCACACAUUAUUUUGAGAGCACGUUGCCUGGAGGAAGUGUAGAGCAAAGGUGUUAUUAAUCACUAGGAGCAGUUUUCCCUCAGCCACUUCAAAUCUUCCAGUGCAGAAUGUCCCAUAAUGUCUUGGCUGUUAGCAAUCAAGUCCCAAAUUAUUAAUUUACAAUCCCAAUCAGUUCUGAAAUUAAACACCGCCCACCCCACCCUCAACAUCCCAUCCCUUACAAGCAAGACUAAAACCACCCCAGACCAUGGUCUCCCAACUCAUCCAGUGUGAAGAUUGUGAGUGGACUUGACAGUGUUUGUUGCUAAAAUUUUCUAAAUACCACCACUGGCCUGUCUGAUGCAUAAAUCAUUGUUGGUGAACUGGCAGUUUUUAUUGUUGUAUCUCUUUGGACAUCAGGAGAGCACUGUAAUACAAAUGAAUUUAAGGAAUGAAAGAGGAAAAAAAAAAGAAUUCCUAAUUUGUUGCAUAAUUACUGAAUUUAUAGCUAUGCUACGUUGGGUACUGAAGUAUGUUACAGUACUCUUGUUUUUCAGAGUUUGAUUACUGAUGUCCCUUAAAUACAUCUGCAUGGAACAAAAAAAUCUUGUAUUUAAAAUUUUGCCAUAUAUGAAACCCAAAGGAAACAUCUUUCUUAAUAUAACUGCAGGAAAGAUUUGAAUGAAGAAGACCUAUUAAAUGAUAAGUUCAAUUGUGUUCCAUUUUUUUACUAUUUAGAGAAGACUUUGAGCUGAGAAUGUCAUAGGUUUUGAACUCUUCUUCCUGUUAAUUUGGGAGGUUAAUUGUGUAACACCUAGGAUUAAUGAUAAAUUACUUAGUUUUAAACAGACUCUGUCAACAUAGGAUAGGGACAGGAUUGCAGUUGGAAACAACAAGAAAGACCAUUGGGUAGCUUCACAGAUAAGGAUACUCUGCAUGCAUUUGAAAGCAACAACAGCAAAUCAUUAACUUUGAGAAUUGUUUUCUAGCAAGUUUUAAGCCUUGAUUUAUCAGAAUGAAGAAUGGUCACUCUAGGCUGUUUAACAGGCAGAUUGUUCCUGGUAAUCUGGUUCCUUGAUUCCUGAAGUGGGGAAUGGAUGUGUCUGGGAUGCAGGCUGGGAGGCAGACUGCUGAGCUAGACCUAUGGAAAGACAACUAAAUUAGAAGUGCAGGAAGGCCAUUUAUUUUAUUGCUUUUUCUGCUGUAUUUGUACCAAAUAUUUUUUUGUUUGCUAAAAGGUUCUUUGAUCUUUUCUGAUAGCUGCAGUGUGCAAGUGUGACAGCAGGAUAGUCAUUGCCUGAGAAAGGUGAGAAGACUAGCAGAAAACCUUUAAAACUUAUUAUCACCUCUAGAAGAGGCAGGCAGAAGGAGACGGAGCAGUCUAGCUGUUGCAGCAGCACUGAGAGAAUGAUCUAAAUGCUGGUCCCACGCCAUCGCCAGCAUGGACGGAAGACUGGAAACCUCAAACCUCGCUGUCCUAAACGCAAAGGGAGAGAGAAGAAACCUACUAAUGAAACGAACAGUGAGUGAUAUAAUUGCAAAUAAAGUGAGACAGCUCUGUGUGGAGAUGGUGCAAACAGUUGCUUAAUUUGUUUUUGGUAAAAAAACAUACCAAGACUUGAACCCACUGAGAGGAUCAGCAGUAUGGAAGCAAGACAGGGUGGAGGAGUUUGACUUGCAACAGCCAGGCACUAUGCAAAGCGUAGAGGGGCUGGGAAGGAUGCAGCAUUCCACAGGAUCACACCAAGGAUUGCUUCUGAGGCAUCUUUCUCUCUUGCAGGCAGGAGCCAGGCACCAUGCCUGCCUAAUUAUUGAGGCAAAAUCCCAGAUAAGGUCCCCUGCAUGCUUUAAUUAAACAGUCUCAGUACCUCUGCCAACUAUUUUUCAUCCCUGUUUUCAGUGGUGAGAUGGGGUGUCCUGUCCCAGGCACACUGUCCCUAGGUUCUCAUUCCAGCCAGUCCCCAAUGAUGCGGUGCCGCCGACAGCGUGCCAGCAUGCCCUUUCCCUAGACAUGCACCUUCAUACAGGCUGGGCCACGUGGGAGGACUAAAGAGCACUUAGAUACAUUAGCAGGAAGAAUAUCAUGUUGCUAUGAUGAUGCGUUGUACAGUUGGUUUUUUUUCUGGUGGAAAGUUGCCUUGAGAAUUUGAGCAGGUGCACAGAUAGACUGAGAUUUUCAGAAUGUACAUUUUGGUCUUUAGAUCUUAACUGAUUUGACCCCAGGGAGAAUUCUUGGUAAAACGCUGUAUGAAAAACUUUGUGAAUAGAAGCUCCCUAGCAGGGAAGAUUACAUUUAUAACUGUCUGUUUAGGUCUUUAACUAAUGUUGAGGGGGUUGGAGUUUUUGUUCUUUUGCUUUUUUGUUAAAAAACCCCCCACUCAUAGCUAUUUUCACGAAGUAUACUCUGUGUGCCUAACACAGGAAAAUGUCAAAUCCUGCAAGAAACUAGCUGCAAAUCUCAGCAUCUCAAGGUGCUGUCUUGGAACUUCAUCUUCUCUUAGUGGCACCAGAACAAUAAUUCCUUAGGCACAAAAUAAACAGCCUGAAGAUCACCAAACUGAUGUGAAAUUUGGACACUACACAUGAAAUACUGAAGGAAGGGUUUUUUUCUUCUUCAACCUUGACACACACUUUGCUUUCUUGCACAUCCCCAAAACUCCUGUCAUCUCAGGGAACGUGGAUUUCAAGGCUCAGAUUCAGCUGGACUGACUAAUUACUUGUGUUGUAGUGAUCAACCUGCUUAAUUUAUCACUUCUUUGAACAUUUAAUUAGCCAACAGUGCAAGACAAUUAGGUUCUGAAUUAGGAUAAAUUAAAAUGCUAGCUUUGCAGCUUUAAGGAUAUGCAAGCCACCAAUUUCUGCUAUGAAAAUAUUCAACAAAGCAGAUAAGAAUGCAAAGAUCUCAGCCAGGUUAAUGAUUCUGAAGUAACACAGCCUUUGAAAAGCUAACUGUGAAAUGCAUAUGUUUCAUCACAAGUCAAUCUGUCUAUGCUGAAAAAGAAAAACAAGCAGCUGAAAAUGGCAAUUUCCUCCUCCUCCAUGCUAAACUCCAGCUUCCCUCCGGUGAGUAAGGCCCAUCAAACAACCCACACUUCCACUCCUACCCCUGGGUAACUGAGGUCCCAGUUCAAUCCCUGUAUGCAUCCAUUUGAGGCAAGGUCACAUUUUGUUUUCCUAUAAGCAAAGCACUAAUUCACAUUUCUAAGUACUCUAAAACUGCUUUGGAACUGUCCCAGUAUCUGGCAGUUAAAUGUUCUUGAACAGAUAGAGAAUAAUAAACCUGAAUAUAGAGCUUUAAUAGGAAAAAUGAGCAGUGGAGAUGGUUUAAGAUUAGUAGUCAAUGGAGGCGCUUUUGUACAACCAGCAGAAAUGCUUUCAUUAUGUAUGCUGUCAUUUGGUUUCCAUGACUAAGCCAUUGUAAUAAACUGAAAAGGACCACAGAUAAUACUUUCAAAAGUGCUAAAGAAUCACAGACCCAAUUCUUGCUGGUUUUCCAAGACAGCCUCAUUCUCAGUCUUGCACCUGCAGUGCAUAUUUAGGUGCCUUAUUCAUAUAUUUUCAGGAUUACUAUGGAAAGGAUGAGACUCUUGACAUCUUUGUGUGUCUUGAUACCUGGGUCAAAGCCAUGAUAGAAAAAAUUGGCUGUUAAAAUCCUUGGGCUGAUUUGACCUCUGAGAGCCUUUGUUCUUGAGGUAUUGGGGACCGGUGCAUUUCUUCUUCUUAAUGAAUAUAACUUUACAAAUACAGCCUCCAGUGAGAUGCAAAUGGAUUCAGAAUCUCUGGAAGAGCUCUGAGAGAUGCUCAUGCACACCAGUAUCAGGCACCUAUUGACACAGAAACCAGGGAUUGCAAGCAGCAAUACCAGUUUAGUUCCAAAUAAUUCAGACUACACUUUUCAAUGGUGUAUUUAGUCCUAAUUAGUCCAUUUUGAAUUGUUUGCCCAAACUACACAAUAAUAUCACUUCAUUAAAGGGCUUCAAUUAAAGAAGAGAGAAAAAAGUUCGCAUCAGAAAGCUAUCUGCACACUUUAUACAAGCAUUCUCAAAUUAGAGAUGAAAUUACAGUUUCCUGUUACCAUGAGAACAGCAACAUUUCUCACAGCCUGUUAAAAUUAUUAACUCAAGGAGCAUAGAUCUUUUUAAACUUCAUUAUUAUUUAUCUAGGGUUGUACAAGCUUUGGCUGUGCCCAUACUAACCAUCAUUAAUCACGCAUCAAGUGAACUACUGCCAGCAUGGAGCGAGCCUCCACCAUUUUUUGCCAACAGCUAUAAUUAGCUUUUAUCCUUCCGUUGUCUUUUUUGUACAGCAACGUGUGGACAUUGUAGCAGAGACUGCCAUAAUGAAGAAACGAGAAAAGCUUAUGUCUCCAGGAAUCUUACAGCUUGUGCUUCACAGCAGCUGGCAAGUUCAGUGGUGGUCUGAGUUCAGUGGUGUGGGGAAAAGGAAUAGCGGCGAGGGCCUCAAAACACUCUCCUCGCAGCCAGUACAACCUACAGGUUUCACUGAUGGCAUCAAGUCACCCAAGAGCUUUGAGGUUGCCAUAGCAAUGUGCGCGGAGGCCAGCCUUGCUCAAGCAGGACAAGGGCUGCAUGUUUUCCCUUCUGGUGGUGAUUCGAUCCUCUGACGCACAGGCUGCCCUGUCCUCUCCUUCUCACCUCAGCAGCAAUUGUAACAGUUUGCUUUCAACAGAGAGAGGGUGAGGAAAAGCCACUGUGAGCAUUUGGCUCAGGGCAAGAAAGAUUAACGGCAGGAGUGAGGGUCUGAACCAGAGCGCCUGCUGUCAGCAUGUGCUGUCAGCAAAGCUGGUCUGAUUCAUGCUGUACUUCAUGUGCUUUGCACGUCCGGAUGGCUCGAAGGAGAUGGAGGGGACAUUUGGAAAACGAAGGAUUCCAGCUGCCUCGUUACCUGCUGACACUGGAGUCGCAGUGGCUGCCUGGGCAAUCCAUCACCACUCUGGCUCCUGCCUAGCUGCCAGCUUUCAGGUUAUUCCAGGAGAAGGCAUCUCGUUUGGCUGGAUGUCAAAAGGAAACACAAGGUGAAUUCCUGUGGGGGGGUGCACAGCUUAGAGGCGUUUCAGUCUUUCUUCAUGACAUGCUUAUUACUAGACUCCUGCUGCCAUCCCAGGAAAGGACAGAUAAAAGCUUUAGGAUUUCACAGUUCGCAUUCACAGAAUUCCUUGACAAUUCUGAUUCUCUCCUUUUGUUAAAUUGCUACCUAGAUACAGUCAAACAGGCUUCAAUGCCUUAAGAUUAACUGUAUUGUCUCCUGUAGGUACCAGCCGGGACUAUGGGACUAGCUCAAACAAAGGCGGUGGCAGAAGCCCGUGAAUGAGUGUGAGGGAGCGGUACUACACCUUGUGACGAGCGUGACGGUUCCUGUGUACACCUUGGCUCUGCAGGCGGUCAGUGCGUCCACUGUAUGUGUACAAAGGUUAGGCCACACAAUGCAGUCAUCUUGCACUCUGCAAGUGCAAUACAAAUUAAAAACCAGCCUGGAUUCUUUCUUUCUUGUUUUUUGGGGGAUGAAAAUCACUGUAAAGAGGCCCUACUCCCCCAUUCUCAGUUUUCAGAAUAUCAGUGGCUUUGUGCUCCACAUCUGUGCAGCAGUGCCCACUACCAGGAGCUGAGUUGUAGGCCACACUCACUUUUCCUGCUCUCAGAACAAUUCUUGUACUUGUAAAUCACACAUGUUAGUACAAACCAGCUUAGAGGGGUUUUCCCGACGAAUCUUUGCAGCUGCAUCAUUUUAGUUUUACUUAGGUCCUUAAAGGUACAAAGUAUUUCCAGAGGGCAGAGCAGCUUAUGAACGGAGAGCCGCCCUUUAACCCUCACUGAAACCCAUUUUUAAGUAAGCUCAGGCACGAGGCAGCACAGCCAGACUGGUUUCUUCAGUACAGCCAGAUCAUACUUCGGCUACCUGCAAACCGUGUAAUGUUUGAUGUACGCACUAGACCUGCAUUUUGCCAGUAUGAAAAGGGCCCCAGCUCAAUGUACUGUCUGCAGCAUUUGUAAAUUUUUGCCAUGUUGUAAUACAGCAAAUUAAGCUGACACUUCUCACUACUGGAAUUACUGAUUUGUAUUACCUUGCUAUCUAUCAGAUUUUUGGUUACUUGUAAACCCAGAAUUUCUUUAGAUUCUUACCCAGUGCUUCCAGUAGUUUUGCUGCUUCAUCUUCUUAAAGACCCUGACGCUUUUGUGAUCAAUAGCUACUUACUGUUUACAAAAACAAAAGUCAGAUAAUAAAGAUAUGUUCAUACUAACUAUGAGGAUAAAGAUAAGAUAAAGGAGGAAUAUCUCAAUAGAUGAAAAUAGGUUUGAAGAUAAGGAAUGCCCAUGAAUGAAUUCUGGGGAAAAUAAUAAGAUUCCAGAGAUAAAGUAAACCAUAACAAUCUUUAUGAUAAUGGGAGAAGAGAACAUUAAGAAUUUUAUUAGCAAGAACUACAAAAAUUAGCUUUCUCCAUUUUCAUUUUAGAAUCAGUGAACAUUUUGUUUCCAUAAUAAAAACAGCAAUGAAAAUAAAAUUGGACACAGGGCAUUACACUUCUUCCUCUGCAGGCAAAGAUGAUUUCUCCUCUGUCAGAGGACUAAUAUGGACAAUCAAGGCUUUAACUCUGGGGGGCAUGGUGCAUGUUACGAAUGUGCCGUCUAACCCAGAGCUCCCUCUGCUUCAGAGCUCAGACUGCAUUUGAUGAGCAUGACUUUGGGAGAGUCCUGCCUUCUCCGCUAGUCACACUAGGAACAGGAAUCAUCAGUAUACUGAUGGACAAAGGGGAAAGGUUUCCUUUAUUUCUUUCUGUGCAUUGGCUACAAAUGAAGCCAGGGCAGGAGUCUGUAUCCACAUGAUGCUACAAUGCAGGACCUCCCGGCAGAUGCUGACGCUGCCUGGCCUGAGCAGGCAGAGAAGCACCAUAUAAUAACAGAGAGCUCAGUAUACUGAGCUUAGGCAGAAAAACAGCUGUGCCAUUCUGAAACUGCCAUGAGAGGCUUUUUGCGGCCUCCCCUCUGCCUUCUUUAAUAAUCAGAUAAGGACUUUGGGAUUGCAAAGAACCUGCUAGUGAUAGAUUCCCUGGAUGAAGCUCAACAAAGAAAAGUCCUACAGACAGAGCCACUGGUAGACGCGCAGGGAGCAGAAAUCACCUGGGAACAGCUUCAGAUGUGUUCCUGAAGCAGAGUGAAGAAACUGCUCAGCUUGAUUGAGUAAUAGGUCUAGUCUCAUGAACUAGCAUCUUUGGAAUUUUAGGUUGUGACUCAGUUACCAGAGCCAUUUUAUUAAUCUCUGGCAGGAAGCGUACAUAGUACACAAUGUUUGGUGCAAGAACAGCUUCUUCAGUCAGCAGAAAGAGAAUUUAGAAUUAGAACUCAGAAUUCAGACUCCUGAGAUUUUGCAAUAUUGCAGCCACUGGACCACCAGGGACUACAAGGCUGUAGCAGUGACAUGCUCCAGACUUGAAGUUUUCUGCAUCUUUAGCUUUUCUAAGACACUUUUCACCAAUCCACCUCAGCCACAUCAUCCUUUCUUAGCACCAUCCUAGAGAUAUGUUCAUGAAUGCCUCAUUGCCAAAGCCCAAAUUGGGUUUGGGUUGGCUACUGAAGCCUCACGCUCUGAGAUCUUUACUCCCAUCUCAAUAAAAUGUGCAUAGCACUUCAAGAACAAAAUACAACCUCAUCUUGUAAUGAUCAUUAUGCUGCAUUUUGAAGCCCAUUUGUCACUUCUCAGGAGACAUUUCUAAUAUCAUAACUUUGCAUGCUCACUCACUGUAAAAAAAAAAAAAAAAAAAGCUGUUUCCAAUGUCCAAUCCUGAAAGGGUAGAUUGCGUUCAGUGAUUGCUCCAAUUGCAUUGCCAAUGAGUCAAAACACUUUUUGCCAGGGCCAUUAAGCAGACUAGGGGAACAUUCAUGUAUGUUUAAUGCUGAGGAAAUCAGUACAAUUGAAUUCCAAGGAUCAGACAGAAAACAAGUAAAAUUAGAAAGGUUGAUGGAAUGAGCAGGGGGAAAUGCACACACAUUGCUAGAGAACCUCAGCUUGAUAAACCUGGCUUUGGGAUUUUUGGCAAGCUUGUGUUGUAAGAGUCUUACUCAGAUCAGUUUAGCUACUCAACUACCUUGGUAUAAGCACUAGCUCUAAAUCAGAAGACUACAUCCCAGAGCCGUUAGCAACUCCUGCAAAGGUGAAUCAGCCAAUGCAACACAUUUAACUCCAUUGGAUUCACAGCACUAAGAGUUCAACUGAACACGACUACAUCUUCACAUAGCAGAGACCCAGUCAGUGCCCAGGUUCAGGCAAGAUUUAGAUUAUUAGUUUAGAUGUAGAAGCUACUCAGUAAGUUGUAAGUACUCUGAGCCUAUAUUGGACUAAGUUAGUUGAUAAAAACAAGCUUCAUGUUCAAAGGUGGACACUGACUUCUGUGGGUUUCUGCAGUGAAGCAUGAGACAGGCCGAUUGACUUCUAGGCCAUUGCAGGACCACCCUGCCAAUACACCUGCCCUUUCAUUAAUCUCCCUCCUUUCCAAGCAUGAAGAAAGACCCAAAUUCCAUUUUUUCUACAUGCAGCUGUGGCAACUUAUCCCAGGGAGGGAUGUCGUCCUUGAAGUGUUCUGGCCAACAUCUCAUUGCUUCAGCCCUGUGCAGUGGGUAAAAGCCAGUUAAUUUCUUUUCAGGCCACUCUAUGAUGUCCAUGAGAAGCAGUGCGUACUUGUCCUACUGCUCUGCCUCCAAACCCAGCCCACAGCCCUGGAGGCCGUCUCAUGGUAACCAGAAAGCCUUGCAUCCUCUCUUUCUCUUGUUGGAGCCUUCUCCAUUUUAAAGAAGUGACAGGUUUGACAUACAUGGCUUCCAUCCCUUUGAACCAUUAAACUGCUAUGGAUCUAGUUUAUUGCCCUUGAUUAUGAGUCCUCUCUCUUCACCGAGCUGUAAAUAAAGGCUUUUGACUUUAAACACAGCUCAGAUAUGUCAUGAUUGAAAACAGCCUGCUGCUCUCUCAACAUGUUUAUCUAAUGUCUGCAGGAGGAAGAACAGGGUGCAGGAGAGCAGAUGGUGCAGCUAUCUCAGUGCAGAGUACAGUCUAUGUAUGCAAUAUGUAGACAUCCAGUAUUUUCUAAUGCAACGCUGUAAUUAUUGUGGAGAGGAUUUUAUUUUUAAACUGCAGCUUAAAUAAAGCGAUUGCUUCAGACCACACAGGCUCAAGCGCAGCUGAAAUGACAGCAAGCCUUGCCUCCAGACAGGAGGGAGAAUCCCAAAUAUACAGGCAUAGGUGAGCAGGAACGUGGGACAAAGCAGCUACUGAAGGGAGAAGGGAUUUCCAGUACAACCAGUGACUUGAAGAGUCCCCUCAAGAAAAAAAUUUCUCCUCUUUAGAAACAUACUGUAGUGGUGGGAGAGGGCUGGUGUGCUUUGAGAAGAGUGUCAGUUGAAACUGCUCAAAACAGUGAAGAAGUGUAAAGGGAAACUGCAAAACUGAUGAGGAAGACAACAACUAAAACCACAAAGUAGGGUCUUUCUGGGGGAAGGAAACUGGUGCAAAUCAAGGUCAGCACUUACUCUGACCAGAUGGUAAGCAACUAGUAACUAGCUAUUCUUCCAUCAUCCAAAUACUUGCCUCUAUAGCCUCACAUCACAUGCAUUAUUCAGUAGGAGCAGACUUACAAAGACCUAAUUAAUCCUUUCAAUUAGGUUAACAUUUUCAGUACUUAAUUCUAAGUAAAGUGCAGUAUUUUGGACUGGUUCAAUAAAUAGCCUGUGUCACUUAUCUCCCUCUCUUGCACAGAAUCUCUGAAAAACUAAAUAGAGCAUGCUGAAAUUGGUUUAAUGAAAAGGCUUCCUUCGGAAGUUAUCUCAGUAAGAAAGGCAGUAGCACAAGGAGGUGUAUAUCCCUUUGAAAUGGGACUGGGGAUUGUUAGUUACUUCAGUACAGAAGGGACAGAGAUGAGGAAUAAGCGAGGGGAAAAAAAGGCUGGGACAUUCUUCCCAGUUUAAAGAGAGUGAAGGUGCUGGCUGCUGAGUGCAGGCAGGACUGUGCAUGGUGCUGUACAGGGAAAGAAACUAGGCUGCUCUUGCUCCAAAUGGCUCAGCCCCAAAAGCCACCGCAUGUAGUUAGAGCUGCGCAGACAGUGCCCCACAACACCCCAUGUAUUAGUGAUCCACCAAAGUGGAUCCAAAUGCUGGAGCCUGCAUUUAGGCAAGAAACAACCAAAACAGCAGCAUGAGUAAUGGAAUUUAAGAACUGUCGCACAACAAAGGAGUCGCAGCGAUGCCCUCCAACAGUCACUCCUGCCAGGCAAUAAGAAAGCAUUUUCCUUCUUCAGUGAUCUGAAGCUUUUGAAAUGAAUAUACACUUUCUAUUUCUCCCUUCUUCCUGAGAUAACGGCAACAGAAUACUUAGUGAUAAUCAGGACUAUUGCUAAUUUUGCAUGGUCUUCAGUAAUUUACUUUCCGCAUGUCCUCAUUUUCCCUAUUUGUAUAGUGCAGCUUGUACCUACAUCAUAAGAGCUUUAAAAGGAAAAAGGGAUUUAUAUUAAGCGUGAUUCUAAUCUCUUUUCCAGCAUAUAUAAAUAACUUCUGCACUGAAAAUUCAGCCCUGUAUUCUGGCAUAUUUAGAUCAAUAUAUUUUUUUAAGGUAAAAAGGUAUAAAAAAUUACAGAGCACUUGAAAAUAAGUGACUGGCUAAAGAAUUCUGUUGUCUAACAGAAAAUAUUUCUAAGUACAAAUGACUUUACAAUCAGUCUGCACAUAACGCAGCAGAGAUCUGUUGAGAAGUAAUCCUAAGGAGGUGCCAAGACUUCACUACUAUUUUGUUCCUUGCAUGUUCUUGUAAUGUUGGAAAGCCAAAGUCCUGGGAACAGGGAGCAGAAGGGGAGCUCUCUGUUGGUACUUGCCAGUGGAUAGGGAGAAGAGCCAUCCCAUGGUAGCAGCCCCACGGGGAAAGGAGUGCAAGUGAGAAAAGGCACUUGGCUGGACCACUCAGGUCUCAUCUGCAUGAAAUUAGAUGUUAUAUCAAAAUUAUAUGUUCUCUGCAACUUUAAAAUAGUAUUUGCACUGGUGAUUGGGAGCGUCUGGACAAGAGAACUUAAGUUUAUGUUACCUGGCUAGCAUGGCCACUCCAUCAGAGAUGGCAAACUGCUGACAUACUGGGAAAGAGACCCACAGAGAACUAGUUUGUUUUGGUUAGAAAGACUUCCGAAGGAACUCUCAGGCUGCUGCACUUUUCCAAAAGAGCUAAACAUCAGCAGAAGCUGCAGCAAGAAACAUGUCCUCCAUCAGUUGUAAUCUUGAUGCUAUCAUAGCUUCUGCAGCAGUAACAACCCCCAGCAAGCUGGGCUGAGGAUGGUGCCGAAUGCAGGAGCUUACUACCCAGCACAAAGCCACAGCUACCUGUGGGAGAGACAGUGCAGUCCCAGAGACUUCAAAUCCCUCCAGAAGCAGAUGGUUGAAGAUGUGAAAUAUACCGUGAGAAGGCUCAAAGCUGAUGUACCUCAGGCUUGGAGCAUCCCCUGUGUAUGGCUGCUGAACUUCUUCCUACCAGGAUUCCUCUAGAACACUCAGGAAGUCCAACCUGAAUAGUGACGGAGAAAGAGGAAAAGCACAAGAGGAUGAAACUCCAGUUUUAAAUAGUCAAGCAGCAGCAGUAAUGAGAGAUCUGCUCACAGAAACACCUAAUGCAGGUGGACUCGCCUUGGGAAGAGGAGCCCUACAGCUGCUCCCUGAGCCCCAGCAGCUUGCUGGCAGUGACCCAGAUUUGCGAAGCCUGGCUUCCCACGGACAUCAGCAGAGGAACAGAAAAGACAGACACGCUGCCAUCCGGGAGCAACCUUGGCUUGAGGACACGGUGUAGAAGCGAUCUGGGUACUUGCAACCACCUGAUGGGCAGGCACAUGUUUCCGCUGAAGACUGAAUCUUGGCAAAGGCAUGUCUGUGUGUUUGAACUGACAUCAGCUGCCCAAGAUUGAUGUUUUGAAAGAAAAUAGCAGUUCGAAUGCAGCAUCGUGGAUGCCACAGCAACCUUAAGCUCUUGUAUCUUGUGUUGGGUGACGUGCGGAAUCGAACUGUACAACUGGAGGAGUUACAAAGCAGAGGAGAAGCAGGUGAGGAUUAAUGUACAUCACUUGGGACGUCUGGCCUGACCGAACACAUUUAGUUCAUCUGAAUGCUGAGCUGCAUCCUUGGUAUUUCCCAGGACUUGGGAUCCUGAUUCAAAGUUUACUGAAGACAUUUGCCCAGCAAUAGAGGUCUUGAUAUAAAUCCACACGGCUCCGACCUCGGACGGGACCGCCAGAGCGUUGCUGGUUCAGCAGACAAGGCUGGGAUGGUGAACGUUGCCCUCCCUGCUGCGCAGAGCUGGGCUGUGUCUUUGCAAAUAAAAACCCGGUGCAGUGGGUGUGCAGCAGGAGAAGUGGAGGAUGGUGUUUCUGUGGGCAUCAAGCAAUGACCCCUUUGAAACAUAACAAACGUCUGUCCCUGCAUCCCAGCACUGGGAAGAAAUAAGUGGAUAGCUGCAGAUGUUGCUGCGGCAGAGGAAGAGGGGCAGAAGCAGGAGGAAUAAGAGGAAUAUUUACCAACAGCUGUAUUCCCAUGGUGAAUAAUCAUCUCUGCCAGAACAAACAGCAAAAAGAGGCAUGCCCGUAUCACAAACCUGACCUUCACCCAUCGCACCCUCAUGCCUGACUGUACUGCUGGCAGGGAGGUGGUAAGCUGGCUGGCUGUGCUUGUCUCAGCUGAAAGGGACCUCUUUGGUCUUGGUGAUCAUUGCACAACCAAAUGGAAAUCUCAUUUUGGGAGUUCCUGGCCAUGCUGUGAAACCGGUAUGAGGGGCUCAGCUCCGGAAAGAAGAUGGAAAGCAGCUGCAUGGUGACAGGUUACUUCUGUUCUGACAAUCCUUUCUUUUCCUGCCUGUGUAUAACAUGUUAGAUAUGAGUUGAUGUCAAGGGCUAAUUUGCCACAGCGAGGAGAUUUUCCAUUUAAGUAAAUUCAUUUUUAACCUACCCAGGGAACCCAAGAUCACAUCCUCUCUGCCUGCUGAAAGGGUCUGGUGUAUGUGGAACAGAAGAAAUGGGCUCGUGAGACAAACAGUUGGGUUGCAAUAACAUGUUUUGUUCCUUGCUAAGUCUAGGGUCAGACUGUCUAAACAGUGUGCUAGUGCACUUGUGCAGCAACCCUGUUGUGGUUUAACCCCAGCCGGCCACUAGGCACCACGCAGCCGCUGGCUCACUCCCCUGCUUCCAAUGGGGAAAAAAGGUAAAACUCGAGGGUUGAGGUAAGAACAGUUUAAUAGCUGAAAUAAAAUAAAAUAAAGAACAAUAAUGAAAAGGAGAUAAAAAAGGGGGAGGAAUAAAAUCCAAAGGGAAGGGACAAAACCCCCAAGUGAUGCAGAAUACGGUUGCUCACCACCAUCAGCCAGCUAACUCCCCCCAGUUUAUAUAGUGAGGGUGAUGUUCAGUGGCAUGGGGUAGCCCUUUGGCUAGUUCAUGUUAGCUGUCCCAGCUGUGUCCCCUCCCAAUUCCCCAUGUCCCUCUAGCCUUCUCGCUGUUAGGGCCUGAGAAACUGAGAAGUCCUGGACUUAGUAAAAAUAUGACCCAGCGACAACCAAACCCAUCAGUGUGCUGUCAGCGCUGUUCUCCACCAGAUCCAGAACACAACGCUGCACCAGCUACCAGAGGAAAAUUAACUCCAUCCCAGCCGAAACCAGGACAGACCCAUGUACAGAAAUACAGAACCAGAAUAAUUUCAGCUGUGCUUAAACAUGCUGUACCUCACCCUAAAGCCAGCGUACAACGAACUGGCCUGUGGAGUCACCGGGAGCCCCCAAUUUUUGUCCUUUUAGGGCUGGAGUCCUUGGAUCCCUUUGGGCUCAUCCCUUCAGCUAGCAGCAGCGUGCAGGGGGAAGCAGGGCUGUGACCGUCCGGCGCCUGCCCACCCUGCUGCGAGUGACACAGUCUGCCGUGACCUGGGCAUCGUGUGUUUUGUCUCACGUUGUUACAAUAAUCACUAAGCUAUUUCUCUCCCUUUUCAGAGUGAUUUUGAUUAUUAUGUAUAACAGCACGUGGUCUCCAGUGGAUAAAAGCCUCUAAUUCUAUUUUAUCCAACUCACAGAGCAAUCUCAGCAACUGGCUGUUGCCUGUAUUAUUCAGUAGCAGCUAUGGCAUGUAUUAUUGCAUAUGAUAUGAAGGACUUUGUAAUAAAUAUUUAGUGUUCCUUUAAUCUGUCUGUUCUUAUAUCAUGUUCUCCAGAUAAUCCCCUACUCCACCAUGUACUAUUUAAUAAUUCUUUUUCUGCCAGUCUGUUCUUCUCUUUCAUACAGGCGCACGUGCCCACCUGCCCUGGGACGUGCUUUCCAUCGUCUCUCUUCCUCCGCAGUCUUCAAAGUCUCAGGUUUCCAUGACUGUGUUGCUAAAAGGAAGAACAUUUGCUGCUUGUGUGAAUUUGCUGGAGGCACAAGACAGCCCUCUCCUGUUGAGCCCUAUGCUUCCAUGUUUGACCACAGGGCCCCGUUAAGAAAACCAGCAAGUUGUGAUGAUCUGGAAGAAGAUGAGAAAUUCAGCUCACAACUUCUGCAUGAUGAUGUUCCUACCUCUGGAUGUAGUGGUUGCCAGUCUUGUGGCUUCUGAGAUGUCUGUUCCAGACCCUCAUGGUGUGGGUAGUAAGGUGGAUGCUUCUUCCUACUGAGAUGCACGUGCAAGACCCUUGACUCAAUGUUUGUGCCAGGACGUUCAUUGCAGUCGCCCUGAUUUGAUGGCAGCCCUUGAAGGAAACAAAAAUGGUGGUUUUGGAGCAGUCUCUUCAUACGUCACGAUGACUUUUGGCAGCAGGAGACCCAUUCACCCCCCUGAAGAACAGUUCUUCAGACACAGGGUCUCAGCAGGCAAGGACCCAGCAGUUUCAGGUGGGCACUGUGUUCUCCUCAACCUCCUGCUCUCACAUCUGUGAUCUCCAUCCAAGAAAGGCCGAAUGACUGUUUCAUAUGUAAUUCUAGUGAUUUCUGCAGGGUUAUUUCUGGGACUGAAAAACGGGAAAUGCACAAAUGCUCCAUUCACGGUGAAGUGCCUUGUAUAAACUCAGCCUGGAGUCAAGUGAACACACAGAGGGGAAAAAAGGAGUGUGUCAGAUAAAUAGUCCUGAAGAGGAAAUGUCAAUGAAGAGGACUUUACAUUGUAGUCAUCUGUUUCACAAGCACUUUUGGACCUUACAAGGCACACGACUUCUUGCAGCUCCCUCCUUGCAUGUUGGCCCCAGCUGUUGAGGACCGGUGGAACCUCCUCUACAGCUUCAAGCUUCUUGUUUGACGUUAGCUCCUCUGAUGCCAGUGGGAUGUAUAAAAAUAUCAGAAUGUAAGAGGUACAUCUUAAGUUGUGUCGCCGGUCUCGUGGCGUACGCCAGCAAGGUGAACAGAUGCAGAGAGAUGGUUGCCAUUUGCAGUAAUACCUCCUGUCUUUCCACCAUCUCUGGUUUGGUGCUCAAAGAAGUGAAGAAAGUCACUAAAGGUGUAGGAGAAUCCCAGAUGGCAUCUGCUGCAACCGUGUCACGUGCGUAAUCCCAGGAGCUACUGACACCCGCCGGCGGGUGAUGAAUUAGUGCAGCACAGCUGGAGCUACUCAAGGGCUGCAGAUGCAAAUCCCAGGGCUGCUUCUACAUGUGCUUCAACACCAGAGGAGAGUGUGCAGAAGACAGAGCCAGGCUGUCCUCAGACAUGUAGAGCGACAAGACAAGAGGCAACAGACACAAAUUGAAGCAUGGGAAAUUCUGAUUAGAUACGGUGUAAAAAGUGUCCACCCUAAAGAUGGCCAAAUGGCAGAUACGGGGCCCGGAGAGGCUGUAGGAUCUCCAGGCUUUGAGAUGUUCAAAACUCAGCUGGACAAGGCAACCCGAAAUGAUCACAAAUGCCAUGUGAAUGUUUACCGUAAUGAGGAAAUACAUUACAGCCCGGAAGGAUGGCAGUGUCUAAUAGAAAUAUACUUCUAGAGCAGCUGAGGGCCAGUCCCAGGUAUAGGCUUUUGCUUCUUUUUACUCUGGUUUCUACCUUGCUCUUAGCUAGAGCUGAACGAGGGGACAUAUCCAGACCCCGGUGUUCCCUGACUCCCUCUCCCUGCAGCUGGACACAGGACAAAGCCAGAGGGGCAGGACUGUGCCUUCCCUCCCCGGUAAGGGCAUUGGUUUUGGGGAGCAGCUCCCCAUGGUGAAUUAGAGCCACGGCUGCCCGGCAGAGCGGGGAACAGCAGCAAUGCAUAGCUGGCCGGCUUGGAUUGCACACAAAGUGGAACUUGGUCAGCUUCCAGUACUGGAAUCUAGCCUUUUAUUUUCCAAGGAAGAUGCAAGCAAUUUGUCUUUAGGAUGCUAUAAAGGUGCCUUCAAGAAUAUCAUAUAGUCUGCUAAUGCUACAGAGAACCUCUUAAAAACUUAAUUGCCUGUGUCACCAAAUGAGAAGAGAGUAGUCCUUUGAAAGAUCCUGUGUUUUGAAAACACACAGUUGGUUCUAAAUACUUUCAAAUGGUACAUGCUUCUUUACUCCUGCUGACAAUAAGAGUAAUUGCUGAGCGCAGGAUAAAGGAGAUUGUCUGAAAUGUUUCAGCACUAUUUUCUUGUUCCGUAUUUUUUUCACAAUGCAAAAAAGACAGCGGCAUUCUUGGUCUGUGACCAAACAAGAGGAGAGGUUUGCUGCUCAUGCCAAGAGGCAAUCAAGACUGAGAGAUCUCAAUAACAAAGUGACACUUUGAGAACAUCUCAGCUCCCGCCCCACUUCCGUGUGCCCCUUUCCUCACCAGCCAUUCACGAUCCUCUGAUAUUUUAUGGAUCACUAAAAGGCAGAUGAACAAACCCAAUUAAUCACAAUUACAGCCGUGUUUCGCUAUGGGCGCAGGGCAGCAGGACCUGAGAGCCCUGGAGACACCGGGGCUGUGUGGCUCCUGCACCAUGUCCAGCACAGAGAGGCAGGGUACAGCCCUGGCUGCCAGGACCAGACCUUGAGCACUGGGGAUGAACAACGUGAGUGAACCCCAGGAGCCACUGGGGCGCCGAAAUCCAGGUCUCAUUGCCACCAGAGCACACAGCUCUUCUGAAGAAGAAAAAACUUUUAAGAAACAGCCUGCUGCCCAUGCUUUAGAAGAAAAUGGGCUUCAUCAAGCACAGCUUCCAUGGAAGAGAGGUCCUCGAGGUUAGAAACCUGCUGGAGCCAAGGUGGUUUUGGCUCAGCAAUGCCUUCCAGUUUUGGCCCCCUGCAUGCGUGGCAAGAUGCAGCCUCGGUUCCUGCUACAAGUCUGCUGCCCACAAGGAUGGCAGACAGGGAUGUUUCCUCCCAUCACUUACUCACUGCACUGACUCACCAACAUCUCUGUUAAUUCUGGGGAACAGGGAACCUCGAGCGUUUCGGUUUGGUCACUCACCCAUUGCUUUUAAUUUAUUUUGGCCAUGGUGUUUAGCAUAGGGGAUCCUUUCAUUUCAGCCUGGUCGGAGCUAAUGGAGGUGUCUCCUAGCACUGCAUUUGUCCGUGUAGGACUUGUUUUGCUCUCUGCACUUUCCUGUAUGGCCUGUGAUGCAGCAUAGUACAUCACAAAGCAAUAUCCACUGCAACAUGAUGUGACAUCAGAAACCUCAAAGGAGACACAGGCUUACGCUGCCUGCACUGCUGAUAUGUUUUCUUUGCAUCUGCUCUGAAAGCAGGGGGAAAAUGGGUGUGAGCUAUAGCUUUAGCAAUUUUUUUAAAAUAUAUAUAUAUUUAAGUGUUCACUGUUUUUUUUGUGCAAGCAGAUAUGCAAAGCACAGCAGAUGUCUCAGACUUCAAGAGACAAGGGAACAUUUCUCCUCAGUCCUUAGACGAAAUGGACUGGGCUUUGCUCCAGAAAACAGGAACGAUUAAUCCAUCACUGAACAUGAACUUAAAUGAGCUAAUAUUGGGUAUUUUAGUUCUGAUGUAUGUGCUAAAUGAAGUAAUCAUUCAGGGCGCAAAAGUAAUGUCUUUGGGAGAGUGCUAUAAACCAUGGUGGCUGUGGCACGCGGGGCUGGAGCGGGCACUGGCAUGGCUAUCGUUCUUGCAGCAGGUGUGUCCCAGAGCAGCAGGAAGGAGCGCAUACCGGGACCGAGCUGCACGAGACUGCUGAGUAUCCUCUGAGCACAAGAUGAGUAAAUGCUGCUUAGCUGAGACAGUCUGCAAAGCAGUUUUGGUGUCUGGACACCUGUCACCUGCUCUGGCCCCUUGCUUUAGUGGCUCUGUGCUGAAGAUGCCUCUGCAUUGUGCUUUACAUGCCAGGGUGAGUCCUUCCUCACAUUAUCUGCCAUCCUAUAUGCUCUGCACUGCGCUGCAAGUACCACUAACCACAAUUACAUCCUUAAGCAAGAGAGAGCAAUUGAUAUUUUAUCAUUGGGAUUUUUUGCCGUGACUUUUGUACCCACCUGGAGUGAACAAACUAUUACAAGUUUCAUCCAAUUAUGUUAAGUGCAGUUGGACAUACUGUGCCGAACACAAUGUCUUUUCAGUGGGAGAGAGGGGCAGUCCGUUAUCAGCUCGAGGCACCAUCAUUCAUUAAGACAUCAUUUGCCUCUCACCAGCAGAGCCGAAGCAGCAAAUCUAUAGGAUGUCAUAAUAAGGUGUGCUAAUGAAAGAUAGGCAGAACAGGAUUAACAAAAGGGUCCUCUCCACAUUAUACCUUCCUCUGACUACUUUGCUCAGUCCCUGUCUUUUAUGAUCUCCUGAGGGAACGUUUCAAAGGGGUGCGUGGAAGUGAGGCCCACAAAUCCAAUUAAUUGCUGGUUGGUUUGUGCCUAGAAUCACUAUGUGCCACUCAAAAAAAAAAAAAAAAAAGCCCUACUGCAGCAAACUAUAAAAAGGGAAAUAUUGGGCAUACAGUGCUGUAAAUAAGCCUCUCAUCCAGCCCUGCCUGUUGUUCUUUCCCCGGGCUAGGAAAAUCUUGGAUAACUAGUUCAGGACCUUUGCUCUCAUGGACCACCACUGCCCUUCUGAGCCAGUACAGUUAGGAUCUUAUUUUGACUGGAAUUACUUGUUUGAUGUGCCAGAAGCUAAGUGGGAGAAAGAUCCCACUUGCUUCCUAGGGUCACAGCUCCUUGAUCUCCAGCAGGCAGGACUCACUGGCUGCUCAGAGAGGUCAUCAUUCUUGGAGCAAGCGCUGGGGAAGCGAUGGCACAUGUCCUCCAUCCCUUCCUCACCCCCAACUCCAUGUUGGCCAUCAUGAGCACAUCUGGGGAGGAAAGACAGAGUUAAAGGUUGUGGUUAGCCUCUUGGUCUAAUCAAGGUGCCACCAGGAUUCAACAACGUGUCUUCAUGACACGAUAUUUCUCCGGCUAGUUGUCCAAGGGCUGCGCCUUAUGUUUUGCCCACCUACAAAGCAGACCUUUUGUGACCUUCGUAACUGGACUGUGUGUGUGCAGCUCAAAGAUUUGCUAAGCAUAAAAAGAAGAUGCUCCACAGUUUAUUGAUUUUGCAUUUUGUAUGCUGCUACAGAUCUCGGGCAGGGGGAGGAAAGAAGGACAUGCUUUUACCAAUGUAGUUCUACAUACACGCAUGUGUCCCAAUGCGUAACACUAGUGAACAUACUGUGACUGUGAUUCAGACCUAGUGAUACUGGUACAAAGAUGCUUUUCUCAGCAUUAUUCACUCGGUGGGGGUAAGCUGGAGUGUCUCUGAAACCAGUGUGUGGAGCCAGGAUGGACCCACGCAGUGCCACAUAAACUCUCCCUGAGGCACCAGAGGAACCGACGGGUGGCUUCAGAAGUCCCAUCACUAAGGCAGGAGGUGGGGGUUAGGGCACUGACACCGAUCUUGUGUUUCUGCCAACACUUCCCACAUAAUUCUGUCUACAAUAAGGCUCUUGGUGGUAUAAGAAUGUCAUAAAAAUCCACAUCUUAAAUCACUUUGCUGUGAUCUGGCUGUGGUCUGCCCUGUGAGCUACUUGUAGGAGAUGAUGACCAAGACCCAUGGUCCUGAAGGAGUGUAGUACGUGGUGCUGCAGAAGGGCUGAGCCAGGUGUCUCCUUGCACCAUUACAGCCAGCCCCAAAUCUGGAAGCAGAGGAACUCUGGGAGGGGCACGGAGGGACACUCCUCGUGUCUGUCCCACUGUGAGUCUGGACACAAGUGAACCACGUGGACCCCCACCCCCACCUUGCCAGCGUGGCAGCAGCCGGGGCACACUGCUGGCAGGCAGAGACCUGGCUGGUAAUCUGCUUAAACGUAGACCAUAAUAACAUGAACUUAGAACUUUUGCAAAUUAUUAGUAAUGCAGGCUUCCCCCCUGCCUUGUGAGUGUGUAGUACAGAAAGGUGUACAUUAAAUUUAGCUUGUUCCUUGCAAUUUGUGCUUCCCAGAGAGCAGCUACUACCUGUGGCACUUGGGACCCGAGAUGCAGCCGAGAAUCAGCUAGUCCAAUAAUUCACCUACACAAUCCUACACAAUCCGUCCCUGGAGGGAACGAAGCAGGCGCCUGAAGGCAUGGGGGAAUCUUCUAUCUGUCUUCUGCACUGUUACGGCUUUUAUCCAAUUACCUGACUUUUUACCACCCAUAAUGUGUUUUUCUUCCCAGCAUGCCUAGAAGAAGCACUACAUCUAGUUGCCCAAAGGGGAGUUUCUGUGGAGGCAGAUGAAGUGACAUGACCAAGGUCACCCAGGGCCUGUGUCAGAGAGAGGAGCUGAGCCUGGGGCUCUCCCGGCAGGGACUGAGUGUUACAACGUAGGCUUUGGAUGUAAUGCCAGGAGAAGGAUUUCACGGUUGAAGAAGAGCCCGCUGUAAGUUCUGCCCUACCUCUGAAGCCACGGAGAACAGCAGGUCACCAGGAAACAUAUUCUAUUUCCCAGGGCUUACCAGGAGAGGCAUGGCAUGCCCACAGCUGGACCAGAUGUGCAGCUGAUUCCUUCAUUUGCCUUUUUGAUUCCCAUUCUCAUUAUCAGACCAGCCCUGCAAAAUUGAGUUUUCUUGUUACUUCCCAGAAAUACCAUUUUCCAAUGAUUUUUCUACUUCUAGCGUGGGUCAGACUGUCACAGUCAGGGGCUCCAUUGCGGUCUGUAGGUGGAUGAGGGAGGUGACGCAGGGCUGCAGCAGGGUGGCAUGGCCAGGCACUGCCACCAGCACAGCAACAAGGCAGAAACUUUCAAGUGUUCCCCAGAGAGUACUUCAGGAGCCAUGAACCGAGGUAACUGCUUAAGCAUGCGUUUCCACCAAGAAACUCUUCUAGAAAAUCUGAAACUGAGCUUGAGCCAAAAGCACGGGAGAUGAUCUUGCCUCAAACACUGUUAGAAGGAAACCUCUUUGCCCAAAACUUCUCUAGCUGUUUUUCUGCACUCCAGUAAACCUGGCUGCGGUCUCCACCCUGGAGAUGACUUCAUUUUGUUAGGUUUCUCAGCACAGGCUCUCUGUGCCUCAAAACCAAUUGUUUGUGCUGCAGUUGGAAAAUGUGUAUCAUCACAGUUGCCUUUUUUUUCCACUGCAGAGUAAUUAAUCGAUAUUUCUCAUGGAGGGCAGUCAAUUCUCAUUACACUGGGCUUUCACAAAGCUGGUUUGGUUUUUUCACUGAAGUGGAAUAUCCAAGAGACACUUCAUGCUCAGGCUGAUGCCUUUGCUUCACACCCUUGCUUGCCCUGGGCUGUGAGAGUGCGAAGGCAGCACAGCAAAUUCCACAUUGCGGGAGGCAGCCACCGCUGCACAACUCUCUGCCAGUGUAAAAGGCAUGAAGGUUUUCCUGCAAAGUUUUCCGUGCAGCUCUGUGCCAUCUGCUGUGUGCCUGUGACACAGUGCCAAGGGCCAGGGAAGGAGCAAGGCAGAGUGCAGGCUGCAAGCCGCCAGCCUUUUGCUAAUGCAAGACCACAACCCCGUGCCAGCUGUGGAAUUGGGGUGGCACCUUCAUCCCACUACGGGGUGGCUGAGGAGCACCAUCCUGGCAGCGCUUACUGCGGUGCAGCGGCAUAGGUAGAGUCUGCCCCUAUAAAUAUAUGAUCCAUCGUAAUCUGAUGGCGUGGGGGGAAGCGAUGUGCACGCGUGAGAACCAAGCGCUGAUUAGCACCAACAAAGCUGUGUCUGAGUCUUCUAUUGGGCUCAUGAGUUCCUUCCUGACUCCGUGUAUUUUACUCUACAAUACAGUCCUGGAAGUCAUUAUUAUUACAAAGAAUCACUAAUUCAAUAACGCCACUAUCCUGCAUGAAUAACAUCCAUACAAUAUUAAUGCAUUUCCCCACCCCCCUGUAUUCAUUGCAGAACACAAAAGGUUAAGAACACAAGGAGUCUUAAGGCAAGGACGCUGUUAACACGACAGUGACUGUUACCCAUGCCUUGCUAACACUGAAUUGAAGCUCUGGAAAUUACGAUUGCAAUGCACAGUUUUGGAUGCCAUUCACAAUAAAAAAAAAAAAAAAUGGCUAAAAGUUAAAACUUCAAACAGAAGUAGGAAAGCUGCCUGGCAUUACAUGAUAACAUGGCACUUUAUUAUCCCUCUUCAAUUGUUUGACGUUUAUGCCUCUGUUUAGCAAGUCUGUUCAUUAUCGUUCUCCAAUUAACAGAGACUUUUUUCAGAUUAUUUUUAUGAAAUUCUCAUUUAAUUAGCAAUACAGUUGAGCCUCAAAUGGCAGUUUUAAAAAUAUCCUUCUACCAAUCAAGCAGCCAAAUGGUCUUUCUGAGAUAUUUGCAGAAUUGUAAACCUUCGUUUCUCUGCUAAUUAUCCCCCUGCUUAGAUGAUGGGAAUGUGAACACCUGACAAUCGGGGGUUAUUCACUGGACGCUUUCAUUGCACACGGUGUGGAAAAAUACAAAUUUCACUUAUUAAAACCAUCUUGUGGGCUUUUUUUUUAAAUAGAGAACGGGAUUUAUCAGACAAUUUUCGGAUUCUGCACAAUAGAUGGGGAAUUAAAAUAAUGGAUGACAAAUAAUAGAAAACAGGUGUGAUAGGAGACGUCAGGCAUUCUACAGGCACAGAGCAAAAUGGGAGGAAAUGCAUUUAUAGUACAAUAAGAAAAGCAAAAAAUGUUUUAAAAAAUAAAAUCAACAGUAAAAUUUCAGUGAGUGGGCCUUCCUGCUAUACAGCUGGAGACCAUUAUGGUAUUUAGCAAUAAAUACACAAAUAAGCUUAAAAUGCAUUUUUGCUGUAUGUUCAUGGGUAUAUGUAGUUUGGGUAGAAAAAAACCCCAGCCCUUAAUCUGCCACUGAACGCCUUCCACAUUCGCAAGGGAAGGUGGCAGCUUUCCAGGUCUCUGCUGCUCAGCCCUCUUGUUGCGCCGCGCUCUGUGUGAUGCUGCUGCUCUCCAGCGCCUUGGGGUGGGUGAGCACAUGCACCCAUUGCAACGCGCCUGCUGCCCGUGGCCAGCGCCGCUGGCUCAACAGGGGAGGGGUGGUUGUUGGCUGGUAUCGCGGAAAACUGAUGUUGCCAUAGCAGAGGGUCAUGGGGCAAAAUACUACAUUUCAGAAGGAAGGAAACAUCUUCUGUUUCAGGUUUUAUCGCUGUUUCUAGCAGGAGAUAACAAGACUUCUGCCCAUGCCAGAGGUAGAUUUUAGAUGCUGUUGGUGCUACGCGCAAUGCGAGGGGACAGCUGAUUCAGCAGCUGUGAGUUUCCAGGGCUCCUGCUCUCAUGGAUGGAUAUCCAAGCAGUCCUCUGAAGCCCAGACAGGUAGGAAGAGGGGAACUGAGAUACCAACACGGCCCUUUCCAAUGGCUGAGACACUUCAGGUUUGCAAGACCCCACCAACUCCUCACCAGCUCUGAGAAGUGCUUCCAAGUCAGCAUUUGGGGAGCAGGGAGAGAAGGCACUGAUGCCUGCACCCCGGCUCUAAGGGGGAGUCAUGAAAUAGUCUGCUGCUGCAGCCAGAUAAGUGGAGAGGAUUCCUCCGAGAGUCACUUUGGAUCUCCAGCUGCAGUAGUACGUUGUUAUGAAUCUCUAUCAGUGCACUCGUAGUGCAACUGGAGAGUAUGUCUGACAUUGCCUCCAGUGACCUUUUCAAUAUAGUCCAAGUGCUGCGGAGCUGGUGUUUCAAGAGGAAUUCAAAUCGAAUUUACUCGGGCAGAAAGGAUUGGCCUGAGGAUAGCCCUGCCACUUGCUUCGCAUUUCUCCUUGUCAUUCUCAUGGAAAUUGCAAUUCUUUAUGCAUGAUGCUUCUUCCCGUGCCACCGCAAAUGUCUCCCUUCAAACAACAGGAACAGCCACGCUGCUUUGAACAGCGGGUCCCAGGUGGCCUGGCAGUGCUGCUGGUGAAGGGGGUUUGCAGGUGCUGCUGGCGGCUACAGGAGUGGGAGGAUGAAGGUGUGACCUUGAAUGCACCACGCUGAAAGGUCACAGCGUGGCCAUGUGCACCGGCACCCCAAAUCAGCUGCUGCGUGUCAAGGACCCACCAUGGUGUUAAAAGAUGCAGCUCCUUGGUCAUGGGAUAUGGGAACAGCUGAAAUCUGUGUAAGCUUCAGGUCCAGAUAGAGAAAUAUAUGGGAGAGAAAUUAAUUGAGGGCUCUGCAAGGCAAGAGCAGCCAAGGAGCAACGUCUUGGUGCGUAACACCAACGGCUCUGGCAUGAGGUCUCUGCCCUUCUCGGGGCAAAGUGCGUGUGGUUGGGAGGGGGAAACGUUGGGGUUUUUUCAUGGGCUUUCCUGGCACAGUAUGAUUAUUUCAUACAUGUUUGUAUGAGGUGCUUUAAAAUGUAAUUUCUUUGAUUAAUUUGGUGUCUGUGUUUUCACUGUUUUGUUCGCUCCAAUUUAUGACAAAAUUGAACAAAGUGGGUAACAAAAUAUAGCCCUGUCAGGCUCCUGUCUUCACGGAUAUAAAGAAAAAUGUGAAACUGUCAGGCACACAAAUGUGCCAAACCCCAAGGAAAAUUAUUACAUUCUGCUUGACAUUUACUUUAAUUUUACAAAAUUCUGUAAUACCAUUAUAAAUAAUAAUAAUAAAAGGCGGCAUGGA